AAAUUGAAGAGUUUGAUCAUGGCUCAGAUUGAACGCUGGCGGCAGGCCUAACACAUGCAAGUCGAACGGUAACAGGAAGAAGCUUGCUUCUUUGCUGGCGAGUGGCGGACGGGUGAGUAAUGUCUGGGAAACUGCCUGAUGGAGGGGGAUAACUACUGGAAACGGUAGCUAAUACCGCAUAACGUCGCAAGACCAAAGAGGGGGACCUUC
RNAcentral lists this ribosomal RNA (210 nucleotides) under Escherichia coli. Its description in RNAcentral is "partial 16S ribosomal RNA". It matches the Rfam family "Bacterial small subunit ribosomal RNA", at positions 1 to 218 of the family's 1533-position model. The record is from RNAcentral. Lineage: Bacteria; Pseudomonadati; Pseudomonadota; Gammaproteobacteria; Enterobacterales; Enterobacteriaceae.